Molecule: ribosomal RNA, 542 nt
Filed under: uncultured Flavobacterium sp.
Lineage: Bacteria; Pseudomonadati; Bacteroidota; Flavobacteriia; Flavobacteriales; Flavobacteriaceae
Description: bacterial SSU rRNA
Rfam family: Bacterial small subunit ribosomal RNA
Source: RNAcentral
UGAGGAAUAUUGGACAAUGGGCGCAAGCCUGAUCCAGCCAUGCCGCGUGCAGGAUGACGGUCCUAUGGAUUGUAAACUGCUUUUAUACGGGAAGAAACCCUGGCUCGUGAGCCAGAUUGACGGUACCGUAGGAAUAAGGAUCGGCUAACUCCGUGCCAGCAGCCGCGGUAAUACGGAGGAUCCAAGCGUUAUCCGGAAUCAUUGGGUUUAAAGGGUCCGUAGGCGGUUUUAUAAGUCAGUGGUGAAAUCCGGUAGCUCAACUAUCGAACUGCCAUUGAUACUGUAGAACUUGAAUUAUUGUGAAGUAACUAGAAUAUGUAGUGUAGCGGUGAAAUGCUUAGAUAUUACAUGGAAUACCAAUUGCGAAGGCAGGUUACUAACAAUACAUUGACGCUGAUGGACGAAAGCGUGGGGAGCGAACAGGAUUAGAUACCCUGGUAGUCCACGCCGUAAACGAUGGAUACUAGCUGUUUGGUAGCAAUACUGAGUGGCUAAGCGAAAGUGAUAAGUAUCCCACCUGGGGAGUACGAACGCAAGUUUGA